CAGAGUUGAAAGACUCCAAACCAUCGCGAACCUACCACUACGUUGCCUCGGCGGGCAGCUCCAGGGCGGAGCCGCCAGCCCCCCUCGGGGGGUGCCCGCCGAAAGGCCCCAAACCAUGUCGUAUCUAGGCUACUCUGAGUACCUGCGAAUGCAGUCA
RNAcentral lists this unclassified non-coding RNA (157 nucleotides) under uncultured Ascomycota. RNAcentral describes it as "sequence contains ITS1". Lineage: Eukaryota; Fungi; Ascomycota. The record is from RNAcentral.